Molecule: transfer RNA, 82 nt
Organism: Escovopsis weberi
Lineage: Eukaryota; Fungi; Ascomycota; Sordariomycetes; Hypocreales; Hypocreaceae
Rfam family: tRNA
About the family: Transfer RNA (tRNA) molecules are approximately 80 nucleotides in length. Their secondary structure includes four short double-helical elements and three loops (D, anti-codon, and T loops).
Source: Rfam
GCCUCCUUGGCUAAGUGGUAUAGCGUGUCACUAGUAAACACUUGACAUGACAAGGUCAUCAGUUCGAUUCUGAUAGGAGGCA